This is a long non-coding RNA of Hippoglossus stenolepis (Pacific halibut), 649 nucleotides long. RefSeq lists it as uncharacterized. Lineage: Eukaryota; Metazoa; Chordata; Actinopteri; Pleuronectiformes; Pleuronectidae. The record is from RefSeq and is a predicted model, not a curated record. The transcript is spliced from 3 exons.
ACAGCCUACAGCACGAAGCAGAGUUCAUCUCAGCCUGCAGCUUGAUGAGACGACCCUGGAUUCAGGAUCAAUAAAAGCAACAAGGCUGCAUGGAGGAAUCCAGUGGAGCCGCAGUGUUGUCAUGGCAGCACAAAGCUCUCGCGGGGUAAAGAAUCACACGGCUGGACGAGCGACCUGUAGCGACGCCACUUCGCCGCGACAACAAAAAAGACCCGAUUGGCCGGAUCGAACGGGGACAGGUGGUUUUGUUUGGACGCCAUCCGUCUUUGUUACACGGCUCGCUGACACUUUGAGGCCACACGGCAAAUGAGGCGCUGCGAGGAGCAGAAGAUCCGGCUCGGCUCGGACAUUCCCCUGGGCCGGGUCUUUGGAGAACCAGGUCGUUCGGGGUUCGGUGGAGAGUGGACUUUGAAACGGCACCGCACUGCAACAACAUCACAUCAACAAUCAAGACGGGGUCUGUCUCCGAGUGGUCUGAGCAGACUGGGAUGGUCUCAACGGUGGCCAGGGGAAAAGAAAACAAGAGGCUGAGGUCAACGGCUGGGGAAGUGAAAUCUCCAGCCUCGAUUCAGCUCGACAGAGGCGCACAAAGGAGCCUGUAUGUGUGGAUCCUCUUUGGAGAGGACAGAGAUUAUGACCUUGUCAAAUA